This 933-nucleotide ribosomal RNA is filed under the name uncultured bacterium. RNAcentral's name for it is "bacterial SSU rRNA". It matches the Rfam family "Bacterial small subunit ribosomal RNA", at positions 8 to 912 of the family's 1533-position model. The record is from RNAcentral.
AGAGUUUGAUCAUGGCUCAGGACUAACGCUGACGGUGUGCAUAAUACAUGCAAGUCGAACGGACGAUGAGAAAGUGGCAACACUUUUUCAAAGUUAGUGGCGAACGGGUGCGUAACGCGUGGGUAAUCUGCCUUAAAGACUGGGAUAGCUCCUCGAAAGAGGUGCUAAUACCGGAUGUGCUAUAUUUUUCUUAUGAUUUUUAUAGUAAAGGUAGCCGCAAGGCCUCCGCUUUAAGAUGAGCCCGCGUCCUAUUAGCUUGUUGGUAGGGUAACGGCCUACCAAGGCUGUGAUGGGUAGCCGGUCUGAGAGGAUGGUCGGCCACACUGGGACUGAGAUACGGCCCAGACUCCUACGGGAGGCAGCAGUAGGGAAUAUUGCGCAAUGGACGAAAGUCUGACGCAGCGACACCGUGUGAAGGAUGAAGAUCUUCGGAUCGUAAACUUCUGUCAAUUGGGGACGAAGGUAUUUAGGGUUAAUAGCCCUAAGUAUUGACGGUACCCAAUAAGGAAGUCUCGGCUUACUCCGUGCCAGCAGCCGCGGUAAGACGGGGGAGGCAAGCGUUGUCCGGAAUUAUUGGGCGUAAAGAGCGCGUAGGUGGUUUAUCAAGUCAUUUGUGAAAACUUUAGGCUUAACUUAAAGAUUGCAAGUGAUACUGGUAAACUUGAGCACAGCAGAGGAAAGUGGAAUUCCUGGUGUAGCGGUGAAAUGCGCAGAUAUCAGGAAGAACACCAGUGGCGAAGGCGGCUUUCUGGGCUGUUGCUGACACUGAGGCGCGAAAGCUAGGGGAGCGAACAGGAUUAGAUACCCUGCUAGUCUUAGCUGUAAACGAUGGACACUAGUGUGGGGGGGUUAUCGACGCCUUCCGUGCCGAAGCUAACGCAUUAAGUGUCUCGCCUGGGGAGUACUGACGCAAGGCUAAACUCAAAGGAAUUG